AUGUCGAAGCUCUGAGAUGCACAUUAGCAGUUAGUUGAUGCCGAAUGUCGUACGUGUAUUGUGCAUAUCGUCAGUAUUAGCUUACUUGCUUCGGGUGCAAUUUUCGAAUGCCAUUUUCAUGUCCCUUGGCAAUUUAACUGUUUCUUGUGAGAAGUGAAAACAAGCAUGGCAAUAUCAUUAGUCCUUCGGGACACGGUGACUCGGAGUGUGGGCGUUGAUGGCAGCUUGAUAGAUUAGCAACAGAAACCCUGACCAGUUGAAAACUGUUCAACUUAUCCGAUACAAAAAGACGUUUUCAUAUCGAGUUGAAGUGCCAGCGGCAAAUUGCUCCAGCCAGAUGGAAGACAAUGUGACGGAAGCAGAGAAUACAUUGAAUGUGCACCACAAGAUUUAACCAGCGCACAUAUCCAAGCAAACGAGUCAGUUUUUGAUUGGAGUUUUCGGCUUAACCUGCUUACUUAAACACGUUCGUAUCCAGCAUCGCGCCCAAACACUGGACAAUGUUAUUCGACAUCAGAGUGUCCACUUUUUCCUCAAGAUGCCGCUUAGGAUCCUGUUUGCCAACGUUCUUAAUGGCUAACUGCUCCGGCGUCAUCUUUUCUUCGUCCUCCAAAGCCUAGAAUAUUGUGAUCGACUUAAUA
Long non-coding RNA from Sabethes cyaneus, 641 nucleotides. RefSeq lists it as uncharacterized. NCBI's taxonomy places the organism in Eukaryota, Metazoa, Arthropoda, Insecta, Diptera, Culicidae. The transcript has 3 exons. The record is from RefSeq and is a predicted model, not a curated record.